AACGAACGCUGGCGGCAUGCCUAACACAUGCAAGUCGAACGAGACCUUCGGGUCUAGUGGCGCACGGGUGCGUAACGCGUGGGAACCUGCCCUUAGGUUCGGAAUAACUCUCCGAAAGGGGUGCUAAUACCGGAUAAUGUCUUCGGACCAAAGAUUUAUCGCCUUUGGAUGGGCCCGCGUUGGAUUAGCUAGUUGGUAGGGUAAAAGCCUACCAAGGCGACGAUCCAUAGCUGGUCUGAGAGGAUGAUCAGCCACACUGGGACUGAGACACGGCCCAGACUCCUACGGGAGGCAGCAGUGGGGAAUAUUGGACAAUGGGCGAAAGCCUGAUCCAGCAAUGCCGCGUGAGUGAUGAAGGCCUUAGGGUUGUAAAGCUCUUUUAACCGGGAUGAUAAUGACAGUACCGGGAGAAUAAGCUCCGGCUAACUCCGUG
This 433-nucleotide ribosomal RNA is filed under the name uncultured bacterium. RNAcentral describes it as "partial 16S ribosomal RNA". It matches the Rfam family "Bacterial small subunit ribosomal RNA", at positions 29 to 507 of the family's 1533-position model. The record is from RNAcentral.